RNAcentral lists this ribosomal RNA (469 nucleotides) under uncultured bacterium. Its description in RNAcentral is "partial 16S ribosomal RNA". It matches the Rfam family "Bacterial small subunit ribosomal RNA", at positions 28 to 507 of the family's 1533-position model. The record is from RNAcentral.
GACGAACGCUGGCGGCGUGCUUAACACAUGCAAGUCGAACGGAAAGGCCCUGCUUGCAGGGUGCUCGAGUGGCGAACGGGUGAGUAACACGUGGGUGAUCUGCCCCUUACUUUGGGAUAAGCCUGGGAAACUGGGUCUAAUACUGGAUAGGACCAUGCUGUAGGUGGUGUGGUGGAAAGAUUAGUUUCGGUAAGGGAUGAGCUCGCGGCCUAUCAGCUUGUUGGUGGGGUAAUGGCCUACCAAGGCGUCGACGGGUAGCCGGCCUGAGAGGGUGGACGGCCACAUUGGGACUGAGCUACGGCCCAGACUCCUACGGGAGGCAGCAGUGGGGAAUAUUGCACAAUGGGCGCAAGCCUGAUGCCGCGACGCCGCGUGGGGGAUGACGGCCUUCGGGUUGUAAACUCCUUUCAGCCAUGACGAAGCCCUUGUGGUGACGGUAGUGGUAAAAGAAGCACCGGCUAACUACGUG